Molecule: ribosomal RNA, 208 nt
Filed under: uncultured bacterium
Lineage: Bacteria
Description: partial 16S ribosomal RNA
Rfam family: Bacterial small subunit ribosomal RNA
Source: RNAcentral
UACGAAGGGGCUAGCGUUGCUCGGAAUGACUGGGCGUAAAGCGUGCGCAGGCGGUUUUGUAAGCCAGAUGUGAAAUCCCCGGGCUUAACCUGGGAAUGGCAUUUGGGACUGCAAGGCUUGAGUGCGGCAGAGGAGACUGGAAUUCCUGGUGUAGCAGUGAAAUGCGUAGAUAAUCAGGAUGGAACACCGAUGGCGAAGGACAGGUCUC